This 202-nucleotide ribosomal RNA is filed under the name uncultured bacterium. RNAcentral describes it as "partial 16S ribosomal RNA". It matches the Rfam family "Bacterial small subunit ribosomal RNA", at positions 1300 to 1500 of the family's 1533-position model. The record is from RNAcentral.
GUAGUCUGCAACCCGACUACAUGAAGCCGGAAUCGCUAGUAAUCGCGGAUCAGAAUGCCGCGGUGAAUACGUUCCCGGGUCUUGUACACACCGCCCGUCACACCAUGGGAGUCGGAAAUGCCCGAAGCCGGUGACCCAACCGAAAGGGAGGGNGCCGUCGAAGGCAGGUCGGAUGACUGGGGUGAAGUCGUAACAAGGUAUC